GGGGUAGACUUGGCUUCGACAGGGUAUGUCUAAGUAUGACUGCAAGUGGUUGAAUACCUAAAUUCACAAUUUAAAAUAAAAUGACGAAACUUCAUAUAGUUUCGCUCCUGCUUUCGUAGCAGCCUAAUAUAAGGUAUAGGAGCACUCUUACUUAUUUUCAUCUAUAGGAUAAGAUAAGGGUUAAUAUAUAUAGAUUAUAUUAUUAUAUUUCCUAAGUUAUAAUAAUGAAUCUCUAUUAGGAUAGUUAAGACUUUUGGUACGUUAUAGCCAAAUCUUAAUGAAACAUAAAUCUAACUAAACUUGUAGACGUUAUAUUAUAGAGUAUCUUGGACAGGGGUUCAAUUCCCCUCUACUCCACCA
This 360-nucleotide transfer-messenger RNA is filed under the name Bacilli. RNAcentral describes it as "Coprovivens sp002362595 Standard tmRNA". It matches the Rfam family "transfer-messenger RNA". Rfam says of the family: Bacterial tmRNA, also known as 10Sa RNA or SsrA, is named for its dual tRNA and mRNA-like properties. Its role is to liberate the mRNA from a stalled ribosome. The record is from RNAcentral. Lineage: Bacteria; Bacillati; Bacillota. RNAcentral also lists the same sequence under 1 other name.